CAAAACGGUGCUUGGUUCUGUCCUAACAGCAGUCCAGGAAGUGGGAACCGGCUGAAGCAGCCUGGGGGCAAGUGAGCUUGCACCUGGCUGUGAUGCCUCCCACCUGGGCUCAAAGCCCCAGUGCGCGGGGGGAUCCCUGGGGCUCCUGCUAGCAGGGAGGAAGAUUCAAAUAAUGAUCUAUGAAGAGACAGAAAUUCAAGUUACGGGGCUGUCACUUGAAGACCCUACUGCUUGGCUUCUUAGCCCGCGUAUCGGUUAUUUAGCCGCACGUUUGGUUCUGAGCAUCAGAAACUUGAAUCUGCUGCUUGGUUUUUGCUUCUCUAACGGGAGAUUCGGAGGGCUUCUGUGGAGCUUUAGCUUUUGCUGAAAGCUGAAGGGGCUGUUACAGGCGCUAACAAGGACCCUGCAUGUCCGUGUUCAUCCGUCGCCGAGCUGCAAGGACACAGGUGGGCCUGGCCCAGCACCUGGCCCUGGACGCGCCGUGUGCGCUAGGCUGGCGCCAGACAGGAC
RNAcentral lists this long non-coding RNA (510 nucleotides) under Vulpes vulpes (red fox). Its description in RNAcentral is "lncRNA (ENSVVUG00000027140.1)". The record is from RNAcentral. Lineage: Eukaryota; Metazoa; Chordata; Mammalia; Carnivora; Canidae.